ACUCCUACGGGAGGCAGCAGUGGGGAAUAUUGCACAAUGGGCGCAAGCCUGAUGCAGCCAUGCCGCGUGUGUGAAGAAGGCCUUCGGUUGUAAAGCACUUUCAGUCGUGAGGAAGGUAGUGUAGUUAAUAGCUGCAUUAUUUGUACGUUAGCGACAGAAGAAGCACCGGCUAACUCCGUGCCAGCAGCCGCGGUAAUACGGAGGGGUGCGAGCGUUAAUCGGAAUUACUGGGCGUAAAGCGCAUGCAGGUGGUUUGUUAAGUCAGAUGUGAAAGCCCGGGGCUCAACCUCGGAAUAGCAUUUGAAACUGGCAGACUAGAGUACUGUAGAGGGGGUAGAAUUUCAGGUGUAGCGGUGAAAUGCGUAGAGAUCUGAAGGAAUACCGGUGGCGAAGGCGGCCCCCUGGACAGAUACUGACACUCAGAUGCGAAAGCGUGGGGAGCAAACAGGAUUAGAUACCCUGGUAGGAUAGCG
RNAcentral lists this ribosomal RNA (473 nucleotides) under uncultured bacterium. RNAcentral's name for it is "bacterial SSU rRNA". It matches the Rfam family "Bacterial small subunit ribosomal RNA", at positions 335 to 799 of the family's 1533-position model. The record is from RNAcentral.